AGAGUUUGAUUAUGGCUCAGGAUGAACGCUAGCUACAGGCUUAACACAUGCAAGUCGAGGGGCAGCAUUUUAGUUUGCUUGCAAACUAAAGAUGGCGACCGGCGCACGGGUGAGUAACACGUAUCCAACCUGCCGAUAACUCGGGGAUAGCCUUUCGAAAGAAAGAUUAAUAUCCGAUAGUAUAUUAAAACCGCAUGGUUUUACUAUUAAAGAAUUUCGGUUAUCGAUGGGGAUGCGUUCCAUUAGUUUGUUGGCGGGGUAACGGCCCACCAAGACUACGAUGGAUAGGGGUUCUGAGAGGAAGGUCCCCCACAUUGGAACUGAGACACGGUCCAA
Molecule: ribosomal RNA, 336 nt
Filed under: uncultured bacterium
Lineage: Bacteria
Description: bacterial SSU rRNA
Rfam family: Bacterial small subunit ribosomal RNA
Source: RNAcentral